Molecule: ribosomal RNA, 562 nt
Filed under: uncultured Bifidobacterium sp.
Lineage: Bacteria; Bacillati; Actinomycetota; Actinomycetes; Bifidobacteriales; Bifidobacteriaceae
Description: bacterial SSU rRNA
Rfam family: Bacterial small subunit ribosomal RNA
Source: RNAcentral
CUCCUGGAAACGGGUGGUAAUGCCGGAUGUUCCACAUGAGCGCAUGCGAGUGUGGGAAAGGCUUUUUGCGGCAUGGGAUGGGGUCGCGUCCUAUCAGCUUGUUGGUGGGGUAACGGCCUACCAAGGCGUUGACGGGUAGCCGGCCUGAGAGGGCGACCGGCCACAUUGGGACUGAGAUACGGCCCAGACUCCUACGGGAGGCAGCAGUGGGGAAUAUUGCACAAUGGGCGCAAGCCUGAUGCAGCGACGCCGCGUGCGGGAUGGAGGCCUUCGGGUUGUAAACCGCUUUUGUUCAAGGGCAAGGCACGGUUUCGGCCGUGUUGAGUGGAUUGUUCGAAUAAGCGCCGGCUAACUACGUGCCAGCAGCCGCGGUAAUACGUAGGGUGCAAGCGUUAUCCGGAUUUAUUGGGCGUAAAGGGCUCGUAGGCGGUUCGUCGCGUCCGGUGUGAAAGUCCAUCGCUUAACGGUGGAUCCGCGCCGGGUACGGGCGGGCUUGAGCGCGGUAGGGGAGACUGGAAUUCCCGGUGUAACGGUGGAAUGUGUAGAUAUCGGGAAGAACACC